GGAGAGUUUGAUCCUGGCUCAGGAUGAACGCUGGCGGCGUGGAUAAGGCAUGCAAGUCAAACGGCCCAGCCCCUCUUUUGGUCUUAAGAAGAAUAUGUUAUCUAGACACUAUGUAUUUUGUCUAUAUUAUUCAACAUUCUGAAACUAAGCAGAUAUAUAUUGGCUAUACAGAUAAUCUGGAGCGCAGAUUAUCCGAGCACAAUAAUCGAAGUAAUAAAGCUACUAAUCGAGUAAAUGGCGAAUGGUCUUUGAGAUAUGCAGAAAUAUAUCUCGAUAGACAAAAUGCACUAGAUCGUGAACGAAAACUUAAGUACCAUGGCAGUGCAAAGCAGAAGUUGUUACUAAGAUUAGAAAAAAGUUUACUAUGAGGUCAAAAGUGGGGCUGGGACAGUGGCGAACGAGUUAGUAAUACCUUGGAACGUACUCCGAAGACGGGGAUAACUAGUCGAAAGAUUAGCUAAUACCCGAUAGUUCUCGUAAGAGUAAAGACGCAAGUCACUUCGGAAGCGGCCUAGGUCCUAUCAGUUUGUUGGCGGGGUAAAAGCCCACCAAGACUAUGACGGGUAGGGGGUGUGAGAGCACGGCCCCCAACGAUGAAACUGCGAUACGGUUCAUACACCUACGGGUGGCUGCAGUCGAGAAUAUUCGACAAUGGGCGAAAGCCUGAUCGAGCGACGCCGCGUGCGGGAAGAAGUCCUUCGGGAUGUAAACCGCUUUUGCCAUGGAAAAAUUUUGAUUGUACAUGGAGAAUAAGGGGUUGCUAACCUCGUGAUCCCAUUAGGGAUGGCGCGAGGCAUGAGAGUAAUCUCAUGAGAAAUAAUACUUGGCUUAUAUGCUGGGACACCUAUGAAGCUGCGUCUGUUUUUACAGAUUUUUCAUAGGCAAUCAGCAGGGAAGCUGGUAUAAUGAGAGUAUGGAGCUGGAUAAAAAGCUACAAAAUAUCACUAUUGGGCUACUUCUUGGUGAUGGAUGUUUUGAAAAGAAAAAAGAUACCAUUGGCAUUAGGUUGCAAAUAAAACAGCAAUCAAAAGCUAGGGAAUAUGUUGAAUGGCUUUAUAGUCAAUUCAAGGGUUAUUGUCUCUCUGAAGUUAAAUUUAGAGAAGAUUAUAAACAAUAUUACUUUAGUACAAGGUAUUUAAGAGAAUUUCAAAAUCUAUACAGUCUUUUCUAUAAGAAUGGACGGAAAAUCAUCCCAUCUAAUAUUAAAGAUUUGUUAAAAUCACCACUAAGUCUAGCGAUAUGGUAUAUGGAUGAUGGUUCGUUGGACUAUAGGCCCAACGACCAUUAUGCUUUUUAUCUUGCAAGCAAUUGUUUUUCGGUAGAAGAAUCCAAAAAACUUCAAAAAGUUUUAUUUGAUAAUUUUGGAAUAAAAUCUAACGUAUAUAACAAUUUGUGUAGAGGAAAACGAUAUCCGAGAAUUUAUAUUGGAUCAGAAGGCAGAAAUAAGUUCUGUCAGACGGUUCAACCAAAUAUUCUCGACUGUUUUUCUUAUAAAUUACCUCAUCAUACUUAGCCCCUCAGAGACUUGAUUCUUAACGAAUCAGAUAGCGAUUUUUUAGUUGCUAUAAGACGCCGAGCUCCUACAAUUUUUGUAGGAUGAUGAUAUAGUCCAAAAUAAUUUUAAUUAUUUGGCCAGCAGCAGCGGUAAUACGAGGACCCCAAGCGUUAUCCGGAAUCACUGGGCGUAAAGCGCGGGUAGUUGGUUUUAUUAGUCUGAUGUUAAAUUCCGAGGCUCAACUUCGGAACCGCAUCGGAAACGGUAAGACUAGAGCGGGUUAGAGGCAAGCGGAACGUGCGGUGUAGGGGUGAAAUCCAUUGAUAUUGCACGGAACACCAAAAGCGAAGGCAGCUUGCUAGGGCUCUGCUGACAAUCAGCCGCGAAAGUGUGGGCAUAAAAAAGGAUUAGAUACCCUUGUAUUCCACACCCUAAACUAUGCAGACUAGCCAUUGGGAGCAUCGACCCUUCCGGUGGCGAAGCUAACGCGUUAAGUCUGCCGC
RNAcentral lists this ribosomal RNA (1998 nucleotides) under Candidatus Yanofskybacteria bacterium RIFCSPLOWO2_02_FULL_41_13. RNAcentral describes it as "partial 16S ribosomal RNA". The stretch from base 337 to 1998 matches the Rfam family "Bacterial small subunit ribosomal RNA", at positions 1 to 872 of the family's 1533-position model. Lineage: Bacteria; Candidatus Yanofskyibacteriota. The record is from RNAcentral.